This 1103-nucleotide long non-coding RNA is filed under the name Brachypodium distachyon (stiff brome). RNAcentral describes it as "long non-coding RNA (BDIS_LNC004241)". Lineage: Eukaryota; Viridiplantae; Streptophyta; Magnoliopsida; Poales; Poaceae. The record is from RNAcentral.
UCAUCACUUUCCCCAAACUGAAACUCUUAAGAGUCUAGGAUGCAUAAUCUAUGCCCUGGGAAUUGGGAACUACCUAAGCAACAAGCGAAAGGCUGCUUGUUAUAUGAAGACCAGGAACUACCUAAGCAACAAGCCAAAGGCUACUUGUUUUGUACGACCAGGAGUUACAAAAAGGGAGAAAGUAUAUUUUGGUCGCCAAAGUGUUAGCUGAGUCUAGAUUUGGUCCCUCCACUCUACAAUCAUGAAUUAUUUGUCCGUCAAGGUCAUUACCUUUUAAUUUGAUAAUUUGCUCCAUUUGAACCAGAUUUAGUGAUGAUGUCGUGAUAGUUCGGAACACCCGACAACCUAGUCGGCUAAAAAAAUUGAUAAAAUAAAAAAUAAACAUGGAAAUUAAAGUUCCAUUUUAUUUUUCUUUUGAAAACUCAACUCUAAGUUCAGGAAAAUUUGGGAAAAAUAUGUAAAAGUUUGGAAAAAAUAUAUGCUUUUUUGUAGAAAAUUAAAAUCAUAGUAAAACAACUUUCUAGCAUGCUUGUAUAAAAUAAAAACAGGACAUCUUAAGCAAGAGAAAUAAUAAACGAUUUUAGUAGCUUUUUAUAUAUGCUAGUUUCAACUGCUUAACAUUCUCUAGUUUCUAUGCCUUCUUAAAAUUUCUAAGAUUCAGUAGCUUACCGGAACAAUUAUCUUUAUUUGCGUUUUUGCAUUUUUGUUUCUUUUAUCGAAUUCCCCAUAUUUUCUCUCUUUUUUCAAUUUUUGUUCUCACUGUGGUGCAACGUGUGAAAAACCAUUGCCACAUCGUUGCUGAAACCGCUUUAUGUGGAACAAGCUAGAGGGAAGGAACCUAUGCAGUUUUGACGUUUCACAUACCACCAUUUUUGUUAUUGAGGUUGAGGGACCAACGUGAACUCUGUCAACAAUUGAAAAACAAAAAUUAUACUUUUACCUUAGAAAAAAGGAAAUUAAAAAUAUUUAUAUAUGACCAGAAAGGUCAUGUCAUUUUUUUUUGUUAAGCUUGCAUGUGCCUAGCUUUCAAGCAUCUCGGAUGCUCACACAGACCUGUGCAAGCCAUGAUUUGUAAUCAAUUCUCUUGCAGGCCAUGUUGUUUG